AGGGAUGUAGCUCAGUGGUAGAGCGCAUGCUUUGUAUGUAUGAGGUCCCGGGUUCGAUCCCCGGCGUUGUGU
This 72-nucleotide transfer RNA is filed under the name Lepisosteus oculatus (spotted gar). It matches the Rfam family "tRNA". Rfam says of the family: Transfer RNA (tRNA) molecules are approximately 80 nucleotides in length. The record is from Rfam by way of RNAcentral. Lineage: Eukaryota; Metazoa; Chordata; Actinopteri; Semionotiformes; Lepisosteidae.